UAGGGAAUCUUCGGCAAUGGACGAAAGUCUGACCGAGCAACGCCGCGUGUGUGAAGAAGGUUUUCGGAUCGUAAAACUCUGUUGUUAGAGAAGAACAAGGACGUUAGUAACUGAACGUCCCCUGACGGUAUCUAACCAGAAAGCCACGGCUAACUACGUGCCAGCAGCCGCGGUAAUACGUAGGUGGCAAGCGUUGUCCGGAUUUAUUGGGCGUAAAGCGAGCGCAGGCGGUUUCUUAAGUCGGAUGUGAAAGCCCCCGGCUCAACCGGGGAGGGUCAUUGGAAACUGGGAGACUUGAGGGCAGAAGAGGAGAGUGGAAUUCCAUGUGUAGCGGUGAAAUGCGUAGAUAUAUGGAGGAACACCAGUGGCGAAGGCGGCUCUCUGGUCUGUAACUGACGCUGAGGCUCGAAAGCGUGGGGAGCAAACAGG
RNAcentral lists this ribosomal RNA (429 nucleotides) under Gemmatimonadota bacterium. RNAcentral's name for it is "Gemmatimonadetes bacterium partial 16S ribosomal RNA". It matches the Rfam family "Bacterial small subunit ribosomal RNA", at positions 355 to 776 of the family's 1533-position model. The record is from RNAcentral. Lineage: Bacteria; Pseudomonadati; Gemmatimonadota.